GACGAACGCUGGCGGCGUGCUUAACACAUGCAAGUCGAACGGGCCUUGUCCCCUUUUUUUUGGGGGUGGGGUUAGUGGCGAACGGGUGAGUAACACGUGAGUAACCUGCCCCUCACUUCUGGAUAACCGCUUGAAAGGGUGGCUAAUACGGGGUGUUCUGGCCUGCUCGCAUGGGUGGGUUUGGAAAGAUUCGACCGGUUUUGGUUGUUUUGGUGGGGGAUGGGCUCGCGGCCUAUCAGCUUGUUGGUGGGGUGAUGGCCUGCCAAGGCUUUGACGGGUAGCCGGCCGGAGGGGGUGGGGGGUCACACGGGGCUUGAGACACGGCCCAGACUCCUACGGGAGGCAGCGGUGGGGAAUAUGGCACGGUGGGGGCAAGCCUGAGGCGGGCGCCCCGCGUGGGGGGUGGGGCCCUUCGGGUUGGAAACCCCUUUCCCCAGUUAAAAAGGCCCUGCCUUUUGGGGUGGGGUUGAGGGUAGUGGGUUUAAUGGAGGCCCGGCUAAUUACGU
RNAcentral lists this ribosomal RNA (506 nucleotides) under uncultured bacterium. Its description in RNAcentral is "partial 16S ribosomal RNA". It matches the Rfam family "Bacterial small subunit ribosomal RNA", at positions 28 to 506 of the family's 1533-position model. The record is from RNAcentral.